GGCUUUAUGGCCGAGUGGUUAGUGUCGCCAGGCAGUAAUCGCUUCGUGUCAUGGGGUGUGGGUUCGAUUCCCGCUUCAGCCG
Molecule: non-coding RNA, 82 nt
Organism: Aedes aegypti (yellow fever mosquito)
Lineage: Eukaryota; Metazoa; Arthropoda; Insecta; Diptera; Culicidae
Source: Rfam